This 482-nucleotide ribosomal RNA is filed under the name uncultured Clostridium sp. RNAcentral describes it as "bacterial SSU rRNA". It matches the Rfam family "Bacterial small subunit ribosomal RNA", at positions 8 to 507 of the family's 1533-position model. Lineage: Bacteria; Bacillati; Bacillota; Clostridia; Eubacteriales; Clostridiaceae. The record is from RNAcentral.
AGAGUUUGACUCCUGGCUCAGGACGACGCUGGCGGCGUGCCUAACACAUGCAAGUCGAGCGAGUGGAGUUCUUCGGAACAAAGCUAGCGGCGGACGGGUGAGUAACACGUGGGCAACCUGCCUCAUAGAGGGGAAUAGCCUUCCGAAAGGGAGAUUAAUACCGCAUAAGAUUGUAGCUUCGCAUGAAGUAGCAAUUAAAGGAGCAAUCCGCUAUGAGAUGGGCCCGCGGCGCAUUAGCUAGUUGGUGAGGUAACGGCUCACCAAGGCGACGAUGCGUAGCCGACCUGAGAGGGUGAUCGGCCACAUUGGGACUGAGACACGGCCCAGACUCCUACGGGAGGCAGCAGUGGGGAAUAUUGCACAAUGGGGGAAACCCUGAUGCAGCAACGCCGCGUGAGUGAUGACGGCCUUCGGGUUGUAAAGCUCUGUCUUCAGGGACGAUAAUGACGGUACCUGAGAAGGAAGCCACGGCUAACUACGUG